Molecule: long non-coding RNA, 164 nt
Organism: Octopus sinensis (East Asian common octopus)
Lineage: Eukaryota; Metazoa; Mollusca; Cephalopoda; Octopoda; Octopodidae
Exons: 3
Source: RefSeq, a predicted model, not a curated record
AUUGGAGGGAAUUCUCCAAUACUGUAUUUUAUUGUGUUUUGUAUAAUUUUCCUUUUACUGUUCGAGAUAAUUAUGCACAAUCAUGCCAUUACGAAUGUGUGUGUGUGUGUGUGUGUGUGUGUAGAGAGUGUGUGUGUGUGUGUGUGUGUGUGUACAAGAGCAAA